Molecule: long non-coding RNA, 322 nt
Filed under: Homo sapiens (human)
Lineage: Eukaryota; Metazoa; Chordata; Mammalia; Primates; Hominidae
Description: non-protein coding lnc-COX7C-13:1
Source: RNAcentral
UCCUGUGGAAGUCACACAAAAAAACAUGAGAUUUCUUAUUACAUACAAUCAAACCAAUGUGACCUUAAACAAAUUUAGAGAGGAACUUAAGAAGUAUGGGGUUACCACAAUAGUAAGAGUAUGUGAAGCAAUUUAUGACACUACUCUUGUGGAGAGGAAGGUAUCCAUGUUCUCAAUUGGCCUUUUGAUGAUGGUGCACCACCAUCCAACUAGAUUGUUGAUGACUGGUUAAGUAUUGUAAAAAUCAAGUUUUGUGAAGAACCUGGUUGAUGUAUUGCUAUUCAUUGUGUUGCAGGCCUUCAGAGAGCUCCAAUACUUGUUG